ACCCUAUCUACAUUACUAUUAACUCCAACAACAUCAUCUACAUGUACUAAAUUCUUAUUACAAGCUAUUUUAACCCUUUUUCUUGGUACAAAAUCUAAAAAUAAAGAAUCCAUCAUAAUAAUCACACUACAAAAACACAAGUUUAGAGUAAAAUAUUAUCACAAAUUUGUCUCCUCCUUUGAUCCCAAAAUCUCACUUUACAAAGACUCCUUCACAGCCCUCUUGUUUGCAAAAUUUUGUUGAGAAUGUUGUGUACAAAAUGACCUAACUCUCCUUUUAUGUUCGAUCAAAAUGAAGCCUGUGCAUGCAGCGCUUAAAAAGCGCCGGACAAUAAAUUUUUUUUACACGUCCAUCGGUUAAAAAGCGCUGUACAGAUGACGUCCAACGAUUUUUUAGCGCUGGACGGUGUGAGUUCAUCUUCUAAUCCUGACCGUCCAGGGUGAGAUCCAACGACUACUAGAUGAUAUGUUGGAUUUUGGCUCCCCAACAUGGUCCAUGAUCAAAUCCAACGGCUACUAAAUGAUUAUGCUAGAUACUAGCUUUUCAUCAGUCAUAUGUUGGGGAUCAACACCUCUUCUUUAAAACCUUGUUUUUUUUUCAUAUAUAUUUAUAUAUUUUUUAGAAUUUAAUCAUUAGGUUUUGUUUCACCCCACCAAGCUUUAUCAAACUUAGUAAGCACCGCACUUUCCGGCCUCCCGAAGGGCUGCUCAAAGAUUGUACUUCAACAAAAAUACGAUCGAACCUCCGACAAAUUUUCUAGCGAAUUUU
RNAcentral lists this long non-coding RNA (768 nucleotides) under Daucus carota (carrot). Its description in RNAcentral is "long non-coding RNA (DCAR_LNC004032)". Lineage: Eukaryota; Viridiplantae; Streptophyta; Magnoliopsida; Apiales; Apiaceae. The record is from RNAcentral.